Molecule: ribosomal RNA, 440 nt
Filed under: uncultured Rhodospirillaceae bacterium
Lineage: Bacteria; Pseudomonadati; Pseudomonadota; Alphaproteobacteria; Rhodospirillales; Rhodospirillaceae
Description: bacterial SSU rRNA
Rfam family: Bacterial small subunit ribosomal RNA
Source: RNAcentral
CCUACGGGAGGCAGCAGUGGGGAAUAUUGGACAAUGGGCGCAAGCCUGAUCCAGCCAUGCCGCGUGAGUGAUGAAGGCCUUCGGGUUGUAAAGCUCUUUUGGCGGGGACGAUGAUGACGGUACCCGCAGAAUAAGCCCCGGCAAACUUCGUGCCAGCAGCCGCGGUAAGACGAAGGGGGCAAGCGUUGUUCGGAAUUACUGGGCGUAAAGGGCGCGUAGGCGGUCCUUUUAGUCGGACGUGAAAGCCCCGGGCUCAACCUGGGAGGUGCGUUCGAUACUGGGGGACUUGAGAGUGGGAGAGGUUGGUGGAAUUCCCAGUGUAGAGGUGAAAUUCGUAGAUAUUGGGAAGAACACCGGUGGCGAAGGCGGCCAACUGGACCAUUUCUGACGCUGAGGCGCGAAAGCGUGGGGAGCAAACAGGAUUAGAUACCCUGGUAGUC